Cygnus olor (mute swan) is the source of this 1538-nucleotide long non-coding RNA. RefSeq lists it as uncharacterized. The transcript is spliced from 6 exons. The record is from RefSeq and is a predicted model, not a curated record. Lineage: Eukaryota; Metazoa; Chordata; Aves; Anseriformes; Anatidae.
UAGCAAAAAUAACAGCUGUUAAUUAAGCUUUCUCUAGUCUAAGUGUCGUCUGGCAAUCAGCAAGGAUCAUGGUUUUAGUUACUUUGUAGAGCACUUCUGCAAGGCAGUCUGAAGGGGUCAGGAUACUCUUACGUGAGCACCACAACAUGCCCGGUAGGUCUAAUGCACCCCGCUCUUUUAACAAACGUUGUAUUUCUGCACAGGUCUGUCCAGGCAGUGAAUGGAGGUCCUGUAACCAUGCUUGUGGAUAGCCGUGUUUUUUUCUGCCCCCAUUCCUGGAUGACUGCUUUUCUUCCUGACUCCUAACAUGCAGCACUUACAUGUCCGUCUGACUAAGCCACAACUUCCAACAGCUUGGUAAUUCCCUGCCAGCUCUUACUGUGGCCAGUUUAUGUCCCUGCUGCCUGCCUUCCAAGAUAUAGCAGGCUCUGAGGUGCCAUCUGCCCCGUGUUCAGAGACUCCCACCCCCUUGACUCCAUGGCAGGGAGCAUGGGGUAAUAGCAUUCACAGACUGUCUGGUGGGAAAGGAUGGUCAACGUGCAAGCAAACCAAUUGUUGAAGUGCUCUCAUCACAGAUGGUCAGCAAGGGAGAAUUGCUUCCUCCCUUCUUUUGCCAAAAAGGAGCUGCCUCAAUGAUAGCAUGUGAAAGCAGGAGAGCUUUCCUUCUCUCCAGAUUCCAGAUGUUACAGGACAGACACAGACACAACCAAACAGCUGACAGUCAGCCAGCCAUCAUUCUAUCAUGCUUUUAGUGUUGAUUACAACCAUCGGCAACGCUGUGCCUGCCAGGGAGAUAACAUUCAAGUUGAAACUGGAUUUCUUGCUUGUGGUGGAGAAACCAAAGGCUUCAAAUACCAGACUUGCACACAAAAGGUGCAGGGCACUGCAGGUGCUGUGACUGUUAAAAAAUGAAGAAGCAUCUCAAAAAGUACACUUUGCACCCCUGCCAUGAGAAGGAGUCCUUUAGACCACGCUCAGUUAAACCAGUGCCACUGGACCUCUGAUGCAACGCAAUGGUGAAGACUUCAAAGUUGCAGGCCAGGUCUCAUUCGCACCUACACCUCGGUGCCUCGGGGGACGUGUGAUCUUGUUCGGCUGAAGUGCACAGGUAUGCCUUUACUUGCUUCCCUCAUUCUGUGCUGUUCACUUCGAGCUGAAACGCCUGGCUGUCUGAAAUACAGGUAAGACGUCUCCACUAUUUAAUUUUCCUGCUAAGCGUGGAACUGAAGUAUUGUUGGGGUUUUGCUGGUCCUUGUUUAUCUGUUAAAGUGAGCCGUGUAUAAGGAGUAUCAUUGGUAUGAAGCGUGACUGGGACAUGUAACUACCAAGAUGGGUAGAUUACUCCUGCUGUGGAUACCUGUGUUUUACUGCAGUGCUGUCACAAUGGUUGCAUUUAAGGUCAUCUCUGAGUUUGUUCAUUAUUUUCACAGACUAUUAAAUUUGAAGUCCAUCUUGGCAGGACAUUUUCUUUGUUUUGCCUGAUACUGGCUUGGCUGCCAGUUCUCUCUGUAGACAGGGGAAAACGUGCAGCUGUAUGA